Peromyscus maniculatus bairdii (prairie deer mouse) is the source of this 453-nucleotide long non-coding RNA. RefSeq lists it as uncharacterized. The record is from RefSeq and is a predicted model, not a curated record. NCBI's taxonomy places the organism in Eukaryota, Metazoa, Chordata, Mammalia, Rodentia, Cricetidae.
UACAGUUCUCAGAAUUUUCCCCAUUAUUAAGAUGGGUCCCAUGACUAUACUGAACACCUAGAUGGGUUUACAAAUCAUGUAAUUUUCUCUGUAGAGACAGCUGACUUGAACGACAGCCUGAUGGUCCUGAGCCCUGGUUCCUGUGCUCAGGAAAUGGCAUAGCAUCCUUGUCUCUGGAAGAUCCCAGGCCAUGCAGAUGAAGAAAGGCUCAAGGUGGACUGUGGACAUGUGGGAUGUCAUCAUAUGGGACAGAGCCAUGUGAAGAGGUCAUACAAUUGGCAAAGCCUAAUUGAUCAUGGAGAGGAAACACACAAGGACAACAGAGAAGACAUUGACAAAGCAGAGACUCGACCUCCUUUCAUCUUUAUCCUGGAAAAAAAAAAGAAGUGCCACAUGAGGCUUUUUGGAGCUGAUAAACCAAAGGAGAAGUUUAAUUAAAAUUUUAGACCUGGA